Molecule: ribosomal RNA, 253 nt
Filed under: uncultured bacterium
Lineage: Bacteria
Description: partial 16S ribosomal RNA
Rfam family: Bacterial small subunit ribosomal RNA
Source: RNAcentral
UACGAAGGGAGCGAGCGUUGUUCGGAAUCACUGGGCUUAAAGCGUGCGUAGGCGGAUCUGUAAGUCAGAAGUGAAAUCCCGGGGCUUAACCCCGGAACUGCUUUUGAGACUGCAAGUCUAGAAUUCGGUAGAGGUUAGUGGAAUAUCCAGUGUAGAGGUGAAAUUCGCAGAUAUUGGAUGGAACACCAGUGGCGAAGGCGACUAACUGGGCCGACAUUGACGCUGAGGCACGAAAGCGUGGGUAGCAAACAGG